This 274-nucleotide ribosomal RNA is filed under the name uncultured bacterium. RNAcentral's name for it is "partial 16S ribosomal RNA". It matches the Rfam family "Bacterial small subunit ribosomal RNA", at positions 523 to 796 of the family's 1533-position model. The record is from RNAcentral.
AUACGGAGGGUGCAAGCGUUAAUCGGAAUUACUGGGCGUAAAGCGUACGUAGGCGGUUCGUUAAGUUAGAUGUGAGAGCCCCGGGCUUAACCUGGGAACUGCAUUUAAAACUGGCGGACUAGAGUUGAGUAGAGGGGAGUGGAAUUUCAGGUGUAGCGGUGAAAUGCGUAGAGAUCUGAAGGAACACCAGUGGCGAAGGCGACUCCCUGGACUCGAACUGACGCUGAGGUACGAAAGCGUGGGUAGCAAACGGGAUUAGAUACCCGGGUAGUCC